RNAcentral lists this transfer RNA (73 nucleotides) under Felis catus (domestic cat). It matches the Rfam family "tRNA". Rfam says of the family: Transfer RNA (tRNA) molecules are approximately 80 nucleotides in length. The record is from Rfam by way of RNAcentral. Lineage: Eukaryota; Metazoa; Chordata; Mammalia; Carnivora; Felidae.
ACCUGGCUGGCUCAGUUAGAGGAGCACAUGGCUUUUGAUCUUGGAGUUGUGGGUUUGAGUCCCACAGUGGGUG